GUUUAAUACAAAGCUUUCUUGCAAGCUUCUCUUCUUAGCUUCUCUUAGCUUUGUUGUGGCAAUAUUUCGGGGGAAAGGCUGACUUAACACAUCGCAGGGGCGGAUUGUGACUAAGGCCGCACGGAAGAUAGCUAGGGAGUUAUCUGGUCCGUGACACUAUGGUCUUAACCAGUAUACCGCCCCAGAAAAUCCAAAUACUGGGGACGCAUCAUAGCUCUCAUGUACUGGGGCACUGCAAUGGCCAGUCCAUCUACACGCAACCCAUACAAAAUCUGAACAUCCUCAACUGUGAUGGUGGCUUCUCCAGGGACUAAGGCCUCACGGAAGAUAGCUAGGGAUUAUCCGGUCCGUGACAUACUGCUCCAAUACCACCAAUUUGCUCAUAGGUUAUAACAAACACCCAAAACGACACGAGCCACCUCAACAAUAUAAAAAAUCCGCUUCUAUG
This 448-nucleotide long non-coding RNA is filed under the name Nicotiana benthamiana. RNAcentral's name for it is "long non-coding RNA (NBEN_LNC004590)". Lineage: Eukaryota; Viridiplantae; Streptophyta; Magnoliopsida; Solanales; Solanaceae. The record is from RNAcentral.